This 1343-nucleotide ribosomal RNA is filed under the name uncultured bacterium. Its description in RNAcentral is "16S ribosomal RNA". It matches the Rfam family "Bacterial small subunit ribosomal RNA", at positions 28 to 1378 of the family's 1533-position model. The record is from RNAcentral.
GACGAACGCUGGCGGCGUGCUUAACACAUGCAAGUCGAACGGAAAGGCCCUGCUUUUGUGGGGUGCUCGAGUGGCGAACGGGUGAGUAACACGUGAGUAACCUGCCCUUGACUUUGGGAUAACUUCAGGAAACUGGGGCUAAUACCGGAUAGGAGCUCCUGCUGCAUGGUGGGGGUUGGAAAGUUUCGGCGGUUGGGGAUGGACUCGCGGCUUAUCAGCUUGUUGGUGGGGUAGUGGCUUACCAAGGCUUUGACGGGUAGCCGGCCUGAGAGGGUGACCGGCCACAUUGGGACUGAGAUACGGCCCAGACUCCUACGGGAGGCAGCAGUGGGGAAUAUUGCACAAUGGGCGGAAGCCUGAUGCAGCAACGCCGCGUGCGGGAUGACGGCCUUCGGGUUGUAAACCGCUUUCGCCUGUGACGAAGCGUGAGUGACGGUAAUGGGUAAAGAAGCACCGGCUAACUACGUGCCAGCAGCCGCGGUGAUACGUAGGGUGCGAGCGUUGUCCGGAUUUAUUGGGCGUAAAGGGCUCGUAGGUGGUUGAUCGCGUCGGAAGUGUAAUCUUGGGGCUUAACCCUGAGCGUGCUUUCGAUACGGGUUGACUUGAGGAAGGUAGGGGAGAAUGGAAUUCCUGGUGGAGCGGUGGAAUGCGCAGAUAUCAGGAGGAACACCAGUGGCGAAGGCGGUUCUCUGGGCCUUUCCUGACGCUGAGGAGCGAAAGCGUGGGGAGCGAACAGGCCUAGAUACCCUGGUAGUCCACGCUGUAAACGGUGGGUACUAGGUGUGGGGUCCAUUCCACGGGUUCCGUGCCGUAGCUAACGCUUUAAGUACCCCGCCUGGGGAGUACGGCCGCAAGGCUAAAACUCAAAGGAAUUGACGGGGCCCCGCACAAGCGGCGGAGCAUGCGGAUUAAUUCGAUGCAACGCGUAGAACCUUACCUGGGUUUGACAUGGAUCGGGAGCGCUCAGAGAUGGGUGUGCCUCUUUUGGGGUCGGUUCACAGGUGGUGCAUGGCUGUCGUCAGCUCGUGUCGUGAGAUGUUGGGUUAAGUCCCGCAACGAGCGCAACCCUUGUUCACUGUUGCCGGCACGUUAUGGUGGGGACUCAGUGGAGACCGCCGGGGUCAACUCGGGGGAAGGUGGGGAUGACGUCAAGUCAUCAUGCCCCUUAUGUCCAGGGCUUCACGCAUGCUACAAUGGCUGGUACAGAGAGUGGCGAGCCUGUGAGGGUGAGCGAAUCUCGGAAAGCCGGUCUCAGUUCGGAUUGGGGUCUGCAACUCGACCUCAUGAAGUCGGAGUCGCUAGUAAUCGCAGAUCAGCAACGCUGCGGUGAAUACGUUCCCGGG